This 253-nucleotide ribosomal RNA is filed under the name uncultured bacterium. Its description in RNAcentral is "partial 16S ribosomal RNA". It matches the Rfam family "Bacterial small subunit ribosomal RNA", at positions 524 to 776 of the family's 1533-position model. The record is from RNAcentral.
UACGAAGGGGGCUAGCGUUGUUCGGAAUCACUGGGCGUAAAGGGCGCGUAGGCGGCCGAUCAAGUCGGGGGUGAAAGCCUGUGGCUCAACCACAGAAUUGCCUUCGAUACUGUUUGGCUUGAGACCGGAAGAGGUAAGUGGAACUGCGAGUGUAGAGGUGAAAUUCGUAGAUAUUCGCAAGAACACCAGUGGCGAAGGCGGCUUAGUGGUCCGGUACUGACGCUGAGGCGCGAAAGCGUGGGGAGCAAACAGG